GAGCCGUGUCUGUGACCUACACCACAGGUCAGGGCAAUGCUGGAUCCUUAACCCACUGAGGGAGGCCAGGGAUGGAACCCACAACCUCAUGGUUCCUUGUCAGGUUCAUUUCCGCUGCACCACGAUGGGAACUCUGAGGAAUUUCUACUUAAACCUCAUCCCCAAAUAACACUGUUACCUGCCAAUCAAAGGGGGGAACAUGUGCCUCCUUAACUUCUCUCUGAUUUGCUGGGGGAAGCAUGUUGGUGGAGGUGAUAAGGGGAGAGUCUGUUCCUGAGAUGCCCCACCCAGCACCUGUAACUUUAUCCCCUGAUGGCUACAUGAGAACUUAAUCUGAAAAUCCUCCCCUGAGACUUCUCUGCAAGAGUUUGGAGACACUCCGCAAAUUGAGGAAGGAGUGGAGGAAACACAUUUCUUGAGCUUUUAUCUUCUUGGGAAAAUUACACUAAUUGCUAAGUGCCCCCUAUUAUCUUACCCUCUCUCAACAGCUUAGCUAUACCCCACUGCCAACUCCCAGGCAGAAUUAAUUGCUUCCCUGCUGCUCCCCACUCCCUGAGCACUUUAGCCCCCUUCCUGGAUUAGAACACUUAUCUGGCAUUCAAGUUAAUUGUUUGUUGUAGGUCUUUUCCCCAGACAUCCUUUGCUCCAAAGGCUGGUUGGUAUUUUCUUUAUCUCUGCUCCACCCAGGGCUGGCCAUAAGGUGCUGCUCAAAUAAAGUUUCCAGGUGGGUGGACUUCAGAUAAGGUCCACUCCGGCCCCAGGGUGGCCUGAACCUUUUUAUCGCUUUGCUUCGCUUUAACACGUUUUCCAGAAUUAUGUCACUACCAACAAAUCUGUGUGCAAAAUUCUACAGAGACAGGUCAUUUCCCCUAAAAGCUAUUGCCCAUUGACCUUGAAUCCUGUAUUGUUUUGCAGACAUAUAUAUAUAUAUAUCUUCUUAUGACGAUGCAUUUUACCUUGUGAUGUUCCCUAUGCUACGGCUUCCAACAUGACCAAAGCCAUAAAACCUAAGUGUUUUUCCAGCACUAUUUAUGGUCUUGAAAGCAGAUGUUGUGCCUAGAGGCUUGGAAUACAGCAAGGCAUCUCAGGAUGCUGCUUUUUGCUUUAAGGCAAUCCAAAGCCGUGCUACACUCUGACUUUCUGGUGUCAGGAGUAUGAAUAAGGAUUUUUCAGAAGGUCUAAAGCAUCUUCUUUCUGGUCCCCUGAGCCCAGACUUUUGGAAGAGCCCCCAGUUGCCUCCAGCCUCUCCCCACUUCCAAUCCAUUUCCCACCCUGACUCCACAGAGAUUUUCCUGAAAAUCCAGACCUGUUUUUCCUCUCCCUUUAGAAAGAAGGUCAAACUCCAUCUUUCUGUGGCUUUCAGUCUUUUCCUCUGUUCCUGGGGCUCUGCUCUGCAAAAUGCCUUUUUAGUUCCACCCAUGCUGCACUGCCUGAUGCUCUGAAAAAAGCUCUUUACUCAAACUUGGCUUCUGCUAUUCCCUCUACCUAGAAUGCCAUUGACCCCACUUGGGCUUCUUGGAAUCCCACCUAUCCCUUAAACUCUACCAGCUCCCUGCUGUGUGACUAUGGGCAAGGCACUCAACCACUCUGAGUCUCCCGUUUGCUCAUCUUCAGAAGGGGGAUUCAAUCAAAGGAUGUGUGAAAGAGGAGAGAAAAUAAAAUGCUCAGAUGAUAAUUUUCCACCCCCAACUCAAUCCUUUGAACCCCACUGUGCUUCCCCUUCUCAUACAGACCUGAGAGCACACUGCGCAUUAACAGGGCUGAAAGUCAGGCUCAUUAUCAUCCCCAACAGACUAAGAUGUCUUAGAGGUCAAGGGACUCCAUCUUAGACAUGCCUGGCACAUAGUAGCUGGCAAUAGAUAUUGGAUAAGGGGUUAAUUUAUCUCUCCUCCUCAUUCCCAGUCAGAGCCACAUAAUUCACAGGCCAGUUACUUCUGAGAGGUUUUGUCGAAAUAAAUGAACUCAAAGGUCAGAAUGAUCUAACCUUGAACUCUGUGUGGCCUUAAGCAAGACAUAUUUAAUUUCCCAAUUGGAACGUGAGGAUGCUAAGUGAGGAUAGUUAAUACCCCUAUGGAAAUAAUGCUGCUCUGUGGGGUUACUCAGAGGAUUAAGUACACUAGCAUGAGUGAAGUACUGUCAUCGCUAUUAUUAGGAAGUAUUUUGGCCUGGCUCUCCCAGCCUUGGCAGACUGACCAGAUGAAUAUCUGAGUUCAGCUGGUUUGUUUGUUUGGCUGCCCCUUGACAUAAGGAGUUACCCAGCCAGGGAUCAGCUCUGAGCCAGAGUUGUGACCUAAGCCACAGCUGUAGCAAUGCUGGACCCUUAACCCACUGUGCCAGCCAGGGAUCGAACCUGCACUCAAGAGCUCCCAAGAUGCUGCUGACCCCAUUGUGCCACAGAGGGAACUCCCGAGCUUAGGGGUUUUAAAGGUCUUAGGUACUGUGGCCCAAUGACCCAGGGGCCACACUGUGCUUUUGAGGGCCCUAGAUAAAUUUGGUUUCAUGAACCCCAUUCUCCAUAAAGUCAUAAAAUGAAUUCUACUUUCUGACUGCGUUGGUAUAAAGAGGAUAGAACCUAGGCUGGAUUCAUUACUGUCUAUCGACUAUUAUUAUAUUCGUUUUCUUCUUUGAAAAGAAAUUAAAAUUCAGACAUUUUCACAAGGGCCUGAGGUUAUUGCAGGUCCCAGGCACCUCCUGAGUGGGAUGGAACAGUCAGCCUGGCCUUCAGUCUCUGAAGUCUGAGCUCUAGUGCAUCAGUUCAAACCAGGCUCCUGCUCAUUGGUCUUCUCCACCUACUUGUGGGAUCUUGGCGCGAACUUGUCCUUCUUCCUGGAACUUUCUCCCUGACCCUCUUCCUCUCCUUUUACAGCACAGAUUGCUAGCCCCUACCCUUGGUUUCUGAUUUAGCAGCUCUGGGGUGGAAUCCAAGAAUCUACAUUUUUUAAUAGCACCCAGGUGUUGCUGAGGUGGCCUUUCUCUGCUGGUCCUUGGACCACACUUGGAGAACAGCUACUUUCGAGGUCAGCUCUGUUUUCACUCACCUUCUCUGAUCUGUUUCAGUCAUGUUUCUCCCUCAUAGGCUCUCCACGGACUAAGGCCUUCUGCCUUAUCUGCAUAAUUUUUUGAUUCAUGUCUCUUUUGCCCAUGCGACUGUAAGUACCAGUUGUCUUUUCACUCGCUGUAGGUGCUCAAUGAACAUGUAUGAAUGGAACAGAAUAGAGAACCCAAAAAUAAACCCAGACACCUACAGUCAAUUAAUCUUCAACAAGAAGGCAGGAAUAUAAAAUGGGGAAAAGACAGUCCCUUCAGAAAGUGGUGCUGGGAAAACUGGACAGCUGCAUGUAAAUCAAUGAAACUAGAACACACCCAAACACACACCAUUCACAAAAAUAAACUCAAAAUGGCUUAAAGA
This 3409-nucleotide long non-coding RNA is filed under the name Sus scrofa (pig). RNAcentral's name for it is "lncRNA (ENSSSCG00000063296.1)". Lineage: Eukaryota; Metazoa; Chordata; Mammalia; Artiodactyla; Suidae. The record is from RNAcentral.